GAGAGAGAGACAUGCGCGCAUAUCAAUAAGCGGAGGAAAAGAAACUAACUAGGAUUCCCUUAGUAACGGCGAGUGAAGCGGGAAGAGCUCAAAUUUGAAAUCUUCAAGGUUCUACCUUGACGAAUUGUAGUUUAAAGAAGUGUUUUCUGUUGGAGUUUUGGUAAAAGUUCUCUGGAAUAGGACAUCAUAGAGGGUGAGAAUCCCGUAUUUGACCAUUAUUUCCAGCUUUGUGAUGCACUUUCAAAGAGUCGGAUUGUUUGGGAAUGCAGUCCAAAAUGGGUGGUAAAUUUCAUCUAAAGCUAAAUAUUGGCGAGAGACCGAUAGCGAACAAGUACCGUGAGGGAAAGAUGAAAAGAACUUUGAAAAGAGAGUUAAACAGUACGUGAAAUUGUCAAAAGGGAAGCGUUUGACACCAGUGUUGUUUUUCCGAAAAUCAAUUAAAAAUGGAUUCAUGCUAGGUAGUAUUGACUUCAUCGGCUUGCUGCUUAGUUUUGGGUUCUUUUUCGAUGCCCUUUUCGGUUAACAAGUCAACAUCAAUUUCUUUUGUUGUAAAAGGGUCAUUGGAAGGUGGCUUUCUUUUCGGAGAAAGUGUUUAUAGCCUUUGAUCUCUGCAACCGGAGAGACUGAGGUCUGCAGCGUAGACUCUUCGGGGUUAGAUACAUUUGUGCUAAGCUAUAGCUUUUUAUAGACAACUUGUUGACUAUAUUUAGUCUUGUGGCUUACUCGCUUAUGCUAUUUUACCUACGCUUAGGAUGUUGA
RNAcentral lists this ribosomal RNA (759 nucleotides) under uncultured Neocallimastigales. RNAcentral describes it as "partial large subunit ribosomal RNA". It matches the Rfam family "Eukaryotic large subunit ribosomal RNA", at positions 23 to 629 of the family's 3401-position model. The record is from RNAcentral. Lineage: Eukaryota; Fungi; Neocallimastigomycota; Neocallimastigomycetes; Neocallimastigales.